Long non-coding RNA from Pundamilia nyererei, 1459 nucleotides. RefSeq lists it as uncharacterized. NCBI's taxonomy places the organism in Eukaryota, Metazoa, Chordata, Actinopteri, Cichliformes, Cichlidae. The transcript has 4 exons. The record is from RefSeq and is a predicted model, not a curated record.
UUGCCUUUAGACAACAAUUCUGAUGGCAAAAAAAAAAAGGUAAUAUCCACCUUAUUUCUUUGAAGUGUGACCUCUUUACUGUACAAUAGAAGAACAGUCGAAACAAAAUUUGAGGCUUUACCUAAAAGAUGACAUCAUUCAUUUCUAAAGACAACUGCUCAAAUACGACAUGAUCCUCAACAGGUUGCCAAUUUGAAAUAUAAAAGGCUCCAAGGAGCUUUGAAAGAAAGCGACUGGACUACUUUAAGUUUCUCUAAUCUAAAAAGUUUCUUUCAAGUCCAGUCGCUUCCCUGACUUGGGUGCCUGAGAACAUAAAAAGACAUCAUCCUAACAGCUGCUAAAUCAACCUGUCAACUCACCUAAUCUUGGAAACAUUUGUUUUCCACCAUUGUGUUGGUCUCUAAAGUUACAACAGACUAAUCGCUCACUAAUCAAUUACCACUCACCCUCAAAACUGCAACUCAUAGAUGGUCAAAGGUUAAAAUAAUAAACAAUAUAUUUCUAAUAUUAUAAUAAAUAAACACCAGUGCAAAAUGUCUUUGGCACAACACGGGAAUCGCGUUGCCCAAAGCCUGAGCAAAAACAGAUACGAUUUUUUUUUAUUACUGCAAUUUUUUUCAGCUUUUGAAAGUUCCUGUAAUAUAAAACAGUAACUUGGGUUGACUAGAUGAACUAUUUGUUAAAGUGUAGUCAGCUGGGCCUCAGACAUGAAAACAUUGUUAAUGUCUGAUAGUUUUACAAAACACUAUAAUUUCUUGUUUGAUAUGUGUAACUUUUCUUCUUCCAGAUAUCUGUCCAACCCCUGACCCUGAGUGUGAAGUGUUGCAGAGGCAGACUUUCCUCGUCAGCUCAGUGAUCCUGAACUUUGUGCUCUUUUUAGUGCUCUGUCUGAGUUGUGUAUGGCUGUGUCUGAAGAGGAGAAUCAGCAAGUAUCAGGCAAACCUCCCUCCAGCUGGGACCAGUGAGAGGCUGGAGGCUCCACAGUACGAGGAGAUCCAGUUCCCCACUCCCUCUGCUGCUCCGCUUCAAGAGUGUGUUUAUUACAAAAUUCAGCUUCCUCGCUCCACACUACCUCAAAGCUGAUGGACACACCUGUACAGGUGGAUGAUACCUGCUGGACAGAGGUCAGUCUGAUAACUGAAGACUUGCUGCUCCUCCGCUCGUAGGAGGAUUUAUUUUUUCCUCUCUGGUUUGAGUUGUUGGACCAAAAGUUCUGAAUCAAAAUUUUCCACAAACUUGAUGAAAGUGCUGCAAGAUUAAUUUUAGUCAGAGACAAUCUGCUCUGCUUCUGAGCUGAGAUGGACCCAAGAAUGUGACAACCUUUAGCCAAACCUGCUUUAAGGUGCUUCAGGAUUUAACACCAUAACUCAAUGCUGCUGUGAAAACCUGUAAAUAUGAAACUCCAACAUUUAAUAUUUAUUUGUUCUCUUAUAGUUUGUAUCUGUUUAUCAGUUUUUGU